RNAcentral lists this long non-coding RNA (3020 nucleotides) under Sus scrofa (pig). RNAcentral's name for it is "lncRNA (ENSSSCG00000056132.1)". The record is from RNAcentral. Lineage: Eukaryota; Metazoa; Chordata; Mammalia; Artiodactyla; Suidae.
AGGGCUGCUUCCCGCAGCAUAUGGAGGUUCCCAGGCUAGGGGUCGAAUCGGAGCUGUUGCCACCGGCCUACACCACGGCCACAGCAACACGGAAUCCGAGCCACAUCUGUGACCUACACCACAGCUCAUGGCAACACUGGAUCCCGAACCCACUGAGCGAGGCCAGGGAUUGAACCCGUGACCACAUGGUUCCUAGUCAGAUUCGUUAACUGCUGAGCCACAAUGGGAACUCCUUUUCUUUUUUCUCUUUUUUUCUUUUGAUCUGUCAUACUGAGAAAUUCUUUACUGUUUUUCUGAAGUUCAAAUUGAACUGGGUGUCCCCUGAUUUAUCUGAGGACCCCACCCCAAGACCCCAGAUGGCCCACCAGCUCCUACCCUAUCUCCUUACCUUCACUGUCUGACGUUUGAAAGAUUUGAGUUCACCUGCUGUCACUUGCCAUGUCUUCCCAGGUUUCCACGGCCUGGUUUUCAUGGUUAACCCUCCUCUGAAAGAGCUCUCAUUAAGGUCAAUACCACGUUGGCAUUCCCUGGUGGCUCAACCAGUUAAGGAUCCGAUGCUGUCACUGCUGUGGCAUGGGAUCGAUCCCUGGCCCAGGAAUUUGCACAUGCUGUGAGUAUGUCCCCCCCCAAAAAAAUGUCAAUACCUUAUUGCUAAACCCAGUGUAUGUCUUAUUGUCACCUCUCCAGCAUCUUGGUGGCCUUGGGUAGUCCUGACUCUAUGCUCCCCUGUGGGAUUCUAGAGACCCUGCCCUGGGCCUCUGUGAUGCCCCUUUCCCACUGUCCCUCCUCUCCCCAUCCCCACAGGGUCUGCAGCUAACACUGGACCUACCCCUUCUUUCUCCAGGUUUUCCUGGUUCUGCUGACCAUGCUGCUGUCUUCCCAACUGCCCAAGGUAGGGACUGGGGCCUCGGGUCCCACCCCUAGAUCAUUCCCCCUGCUGGAGGAGCCCCCCUCCCAUUUUUUGAAUCCAUUUUCCUCCCCUUAGUCAAGGAGAUCUUUCUAAAAUGCAAAUCACAUGGGAUCCCUUCCCUGACUCCCUAGUCAAUGUCCACGGUUUAACACCCUAGCUUCCUCAUUUAGCGUCUAAGAUCUAAACAUCUGGUCCCUGCAGAUCCAGAAGCUCCCUUCCUCCCUGCUCCAUUCCCUGGCCCUGACCCUCUCUCUCAUUCUCCUGGGCCCCGUGCUCCUUCUGGGGCACAGCCUGAAUAGAUAUCACCUCCUCAUCCCAUUCAUCCUCACCGCUCCCCCAGGAAGCCCUCCCUCCACCCCUUCUGGUGGGUGCUUCCCCACCUUCCCCAUCAAGCACCCAGAGCCAUCUUUUUACCAGCCUGGAAGCUCCAGGAGGGCAGCACUCUUCCUCCCAGUUCACAGUCCACUGGGCACACACAGUCCGUCCUGGAAACAUUGUAUCUCUUACCAGGAUGUACUUGUCAAUUCCCUGGACUCAAAGGCAAGGUGGGUCCUUUGUCUUGUGUCCUAGGGGAUGAUCAGAACACCCAGAGGAAGCCGGUCCAAGGAAGAGGUCAUCGUAUUUCAGAGUCACCCCCUUCAGGGGGUUUGUCAGAAUCUGCCUCUUCAGUUUGUAAAAGUUGUGUUGUUUGAAAAGCAUCAAUGGCUUAACUUGAAAUACAGCCAUCUGAAUCCAUAUUGAUAUAAAAAAAACCCAACAGGGAGCAUUUUUAUAUGUGACUAAAAUGUCCAUUGUUGGGAGCAAAAGAAACCCCAAACUCUAAAUCUUUCACCUACUUUGGCACCAAAGUCUGUUUCCAUUGCUGACAAAGAAUAGCACAUUAUUUCACUAUCAGCCUUUAUGAUUUGGCAUUGCAGGGUUGUUUUUCUUAGAUGUUCUUUUUGCCUGUGAAAAGGGGGGGGGGGCUGCGUGUUUUAUUACAGAGUCCUUUUCUAAAACGACAUAGGUCAUGAUUGCUCUGCCGGCCCCACCACAUGCAGACCACACAGAACUCACAAGCUGUGGGCCAGCACACCUCACCCACAGUGGAAAGACCCACUUAGCAGAGGAGGGAGACCCACUCACUUCAGCAGCCAGAGGCCCUCAUAUCAAAAGUUUCCAUUAGAGUGAUACCUUCCAUCAGAGAAGAAAAUCAAAAUUUGCUUCAGAAGUAACCUCAGCUCGUUCUUGCACAUUUCAAAAACUGUUUCCAUCUUAUACAUCCCUAAACACGAUCACUGAUUUUUGAGCAUAGAAAUUUCCAUUCAUUUCUAUUAACCUUAAUGAUUGGCUUUCCUAAAUUAAUCUCCAAAGAGGAUCAUUUGCCUUGAUUUUCAUUCUUAACUAUCGUUUGGGGGGAAAAGUGACUCAUAGUUCCCAAGUUCCUGUGUUUUUCAUCUAUAACAUUUACACAUUAUACCCAAAUAUAUGAUGAUAAAAUACGGUACUGCCUCUGUAAUAAACACAGCCUCUGUCAGAGAAGCAUUAGAAAUUGGGGACUUUCUGUGUUCUAAUCUGGGACAGAUGCGUUUAGUUAUCUUGGGUGACCAACCCAGCCUGUGGGAAUGACCGGUCGCUUUGUGUGUGUGGACAAUGAACAACAGAGAAUUAAACACCCAGGGUCCAAAGCGGGGAAGAAAAAAGCCACAAUGGAAUUUAUUGCUGUGGUCUGGAAGAGGAAAAAAAGGUUUAUACCCAGGUCUUUUCUGAAGCUGCAGUGGUAAAUGCCCUCAGCUUUGCUUUGCCUCUCAUUUUAAAAGGAUUGUAGCCCCAGUGGUCCUUCUCUUAUUCUUGCCAGAAUACCAAGGUAACAGGAUUCUUGCCAGAAGCCUCCUCAGCAGGCUUCCAAAAUAGCAGCCGGCUCCACCCAGAGACCCCACCUAUGAGCCCUUCAGAGAGGGUCAAAACGCUCCAAUCAAAUCUCGAGUAUUGUUCUCAAGAGUAACUGGAGUUCCCAUAGCGGUGCAGCGGAAAAGAACCUGACUAGUAUCCAUGAGGAUGCAGGUUUGAUCCCUGGCCUCGCUCUGUGGGGAAGGAUCCAGCAUUGCCAUAAGCUGUGGUGUAGGUUGCA